RNAcentral lists this ribosomal RNA (427 nucleotides) under uncultured bacterium. RNAcentral's name for it is "bacterial SSU rRNA". It matches the Rfam family "Bacterial small subunit ribosomal RNA", at positions 355 to 775 of the family's 1533-position model. The record is from RNAcentral.
UCGAGAAUUUUUCUCAAUGGGGGAAACCCUGAAGGAGCGACGCCGCGUGGAGGAUGAAGGUCUUCGGAUUGUAAACUCCUGUCAUUUGGGAACAAUUGUCACCGGUUAACUGCCGGGGGCUUGAUAGUACCAGAAGAGGAAGAGACGGCUAACUCUGUGCCAGCAGCCGCGGUAAUACAGAGGUCUCAAGCGUUGUUCGGAUUCAUUGGGCGUAAAGGGUGCGUAGGUGGCGGGGUAAGUCAGGUGUGAAAUCUCGAGGCUCAACCUCGAAACUGCACUUGAUACUGCCUUGCUGGAGUACUGGAGAGGAGAUUGGAAUUUACGGUGUAGCAGUGAAAUGCGUAGAUAUCGUAAGGAAGACCAGUGGCGAAGGCGAAUCUCUGGACAGUUACUGACACUGAGGCACGAAGGCCAGGGGAGCAAACGG